CCUACGGGAGGCAGCAGUGGGGAAUAUUGGGCAAUGGGCGCAAGCCUGACCCAGCAACGCCGCGUGAAGGAAGAAGGCUUUCGGGUUGUAAACUUCUAUUCUCAGGGACGAAGCAAGUGACGGUACCUGAGGAAUAAGCCACGGCUAACUCCGGGCCAGCAGCCGCGGUAAUACGUCGUUGGCAAGCGUGAUCCGGAGUUACGGGGAGUAAAGGGCGGGUAGGCGGGGACGCAAGUCAGAUGUGAAAACCCUGGGCUCAACCUGUGGCCUGCAUUUGAAACUGUGUUUCUUGAGUACUGGAUAGGCAGCCUGAAUUCCUCUUGUAGCGGUGAUAUGCGUAGAUCUUAGGAGG
Molecule: ribosomal RNA, 352 nt
Filed under: uncultured bacterium
Lineage: Bacteria
Description: partial 16S ribosomal RNA
Rfam family: Bacterial small subunit ribosomal RNA
Source: RNAcentral